AGACAUGCGCUUCAUUGCUCCAGGAAGAUGCAGCUGACAGACUCUAAACUGGUACUGCAAAGGUCAGAAGGAGAUUAUGGAUGCCUGUCUGCUCUGAGUAAGAGGGAGACAUUAUGUAUAACCAGCUAAUGGAAUCACUGGUCGAUGUUUGCAGGUGUGACUGCAAUGGAGAAGGUAUAGAUGCCGCUGAACAGUUCGGGGCACCGAAAGGGAACACCCCGCUCAUGGCUUCUGAAGAAAUCGAUGCUUGCCAUGUCGUUAACUGAAGAAAUCAACACUUGUCAUGCUGUUAACUGAAGAAAUCGACACCCAGCAGUCGAUUGGCGCCAAACGGGACGGGCUCAACAUCGACCGUCAGAUCUUCAUCUAACAGCAACUUACAGCUUCGCCCGGAGUUACAACAGACCUGAACACUGGAGUGGCCAAACUAUGAGAAUAGUACUGUCUGUUGUAUGCAACUUGCUCUGUUCCAGUAUUGGGCUAUCAGACUAUCACUGGGAAAGGUAUGUUCUCCCUUUGCUGGAAGGUAGUUGCGUAAUGGUUCGGUUUUAUUUCCAUGAGAAUAUAGGAAUAUGAAUUGAUACAUGGUUCCAAAGUUUCAGACUCAACUGAGAUUCUUUCUUUGGUUGCUUGAAAGAUAACAAUAACUGUGUUAAGUUUGUCAUCUUCUCUCGUCAGUCUAGUAAACACUGUCGGUAUACUUUUUAUGCUCCCCAACCAGACUGCCAUAAUCAAUGCUAUUGUAAGACUUCAGAAGGCCUCCAUUUUCUGAGCACUGCUUUGUUAUGUCUUCUGGAUCCUGUAAUUACUCCUUUUAUAUCCCCAUCACCAUCCAAUACAGAGUAACGCAAUUCGUUCUGAUCAGUCAACAGUGAAUUACGAUAUCGAUUAUGCUGGGGAUUUACUCUGAUUGAUCUUUAACCUAAUUCAGACAGACGUGCAUGUACCGUUGAUAGCUAAUUUCAGUUACGAUGUUGCUUCAUUUUGUAGACCAAUCUCCUCGGAAGCAACAGAUUCAGUUGGGGGAAGGUGUGGUUGACUGAGGCAGUCUUCUGCCGCUGCAACAUCCACGCAAUAAUGGUGCCGUUCGGUGGAUGCAGUUUUAGCUUUCAACUGUUCCUUGUGACAUCCUUGAUAAUUUGCCCCUCAUUCUAUUCUUUCUCUGAUGCAGUGUACCAAAUCCACCUUAAGCACACGCUGGUCGCCCAGGUCGCGCAGAUGGAAUGGCUGGUCGAAUUUUGCAGGCGUGAUAGAACCGACCGAAAAGUUCAGGGCACCAAAAGCAACGUGGUACUCACUGUUCCCGCCAAGAACGGCACGCAAGGACUGCUUUGCAUGUGCUCGGCGACCUCAGCAACAGGUGUACUAAAAACACCAGAGAGCGUUCAUUCAUGCGAGGUAAAUAGUCCCCAGUGAACUUCAAAUCUGCAAGAUAGCUACAUGUUCUUGUCAGGUUAACCGACUUGAAAACAUUUCAGAAUCAUCUGCCAUGGAAUAUCUGAAGCCAUGCUAAGGAAGAUGAAGCAGAAACACUGCCUAGGCUAGAAGAAGCGUAGCCUGCAGGCUGCAGCUACGUAUAUCUGAAGCUCGUCAGCCCUGUGAUGUCACUCAGAAAUUGUCUGCGAUGAGUACAUUCAGUUCAUACCGUGUGCGCGAUGGUUAGUAUUUCGGUCAUUCCGUUUUAGUGUAGCACAAAAUAUUCUGAGCCUGACCGGCAGAAGCAUGGCAAUUACUUACGCAUGACAUCUUGUCAGGAACAACCAGACUGCAUCAACUUCUGAAGACACUUGUCAUGCUGUUAACACCCAGCAGCCGGUUGGCGCCAAACCGGGCGGGC
Molecule: long non-coding RNA, 1837 nt
Filed under: Triticum aestivum (bread wheat)
Lineage: Eukaryota; Viridiplantae; Streptophyta; Magnoliopsida; Poales; Poaceae
Description: long non-coding RNA (TAES_LNC019925)
Source: RNAcentral